GACGAACGCUGGCGGCGUGCUUAACACAUGCAAGUCGAACGGAAAGGCCCUGCUUUUGUGGGGUGCUCGAGUGGCGAACGGGUGAGUAACACGUGAGUAACCUGCCCUUGACUUUGGGAUAACUUCAGGAAACUGGGGCUAAUACCGGAUAGGAGCUCCUGCUGCAUGGUGGGGGUUGGAAAGUUUCGGCGGUUGGGGAUGGACUCGCGGCUUAUCAGCUUGUUGGUGGGGUAGUGGCUUACCAAGGCUUUGACGGGUAGCCGGCCUGAGAGGGUGACCGGCCACGUUGGGACUGGGAUACGACCGAGACUCCUACGGGAGGCAGGAGUGGGGAAGGGUGCACGAGGGACGGAAGCAUAAUGCGGCAACGCCGGGUGCGGGAUGAGGGCCAUCGGGUUGGAAACCGCAGUCGCCUGUGACGAAGCGUGAGUGACGGUAAUGGGUAAAGAAGCACAGGCUAACUACGUG
RNAcentral lists this ribosomal RNA (468 nucleotides) under uncultured bacterium. Its description in RNAcentral is "partial 16S ribosomal RNA". It matches the Rfam family "Bacterial small subunit ribosomal RNA", at positions 28 to 507 of the family's 1533-position model. The record is from RNAcentral.